Molecule: long non-coding RNA, 1566 nt
Organism: Dromaius novaehollandiae (emu)
Lineage: Eukaryota; Metazoa; Chordata; Aves; Casuariiformes; Dromaiidae
Exons: 8
Source: RefSeq, a predicted model, not a curated record
CCCAGAAAAUAAUGUGAUGCUCCCCUGGGCAGUAAGAGAUGCUUAUCUGAACCCUGUCUGGUUGUGGAGAGAGCCAACAACAAGGUGCCCAGCUUCCUGAGUGAGGAAGGAUACUCCUCCAGCUUGUCUCUCUGAUACUGCGACCUGGAGACAAGUCAUUUCUCUAAUGAGGCUGUGCAAACAUCAUGUGUUCCUACGUGGAAAGAAGUGGAGAUGGCCAGGAGCAACAGGGCACACAAGUAACCCAGAGACAAUGAUUCAGUAAGGCUGAUGGGAUUUUUCCCCCUGAUAUUACUGUUGCACAAGCAGAAGUACCAACAGCUCCAUGGAAGGCAAAAUAUACCUACCUAUAGAUGAAUGGAGUGAUCUUGAAAUGCCAGGAAUAGAGUACGAUGCAUCUGGUGUUCAUUGACUUAGAAGAACCACUUCUUGGCUUGAGGACGUUGUUGAACCACUACGUUAGAUCAGAUUUCAUCACAGCCGCUAAGAAACGUUGACUUCAGCUCUUCAGUUUACCAUAACAUGGAUGACGCAUCAGAUGAUUACAGCCAAAGGUCAGCUCACAUACUUGAUGCUUCUCUUAAUCUGAGCCACAUCUUUUGAUCUUUAUCUCAUAUAAUGCAAAUAUGGCAUGAAGAUACAGAGGGGGGAUUGGAAUCAAUAGCUUAGUGCCAAAAACGUGGAUUUUAGAGAAGUCUGAAUCCUCGUGGUUGUAAUGUAUCCAGUCAGCUUCAGCUGGGUGUACAUUUCUUCACAGCAGCUUAAAACAUCAAAGAACACCAGGAAAAGGGGUAGACACUUGUAAAUGCAGUGCUGGGAGUUUGCAAGAUAAAAGUAAAACCUAAGUCUCCAGGUCAAUUUCUGGAAAUGUGGGAGAUUACAUUUUAAGAUAUAUAAGCAUGACUUUGAUAGAAGAGUACCUUUUAAAAAGGUGCUUUGUAUAAUAAAAAGAUAUUACAAAUUAAUGAAGACACCCCCCCUAAAACCGACAGAACAACAGCAAUUUGAAACACUCCUAGUGCUUUCAACAUGAGAUGGGAAUUUGUACUCCUAACCUCCCACAUUGCAUCUGUGUCUUGAAUAGCUUUUCUGUUUUCUCUUUAACUGAGCUAAUGACAGAUCUGAGGAACUGUCAACACUGCAACCAAAAAAGCAUGAAGCAGCAGGGACGUCAUUCACAGCAGAGAUGGGAGUCGUAGCAAAUGUGGUUUUAGAGGAAACCCAGCCUAGCAAGUGGAUGACGUCUUAGUAGAAAGCAGGUGAAAAGAGAAUAUUUCCCUGCCAAAGACUGAACCAUUGCUAAGAAGUCAUGUGUCUGAACAGGCAUCCCUGUCUACUCUGUGUUUCUAGGCCAUCAGAUGUCCCAUCGGCACUGACACCUGCCAGUUUUGCUGUGUUGCUUGUAUCACAGGGAUGCAGCUGCGGGGCCGUAGCUGGAGGCUGUGCCCGCACCAGGCCACCAUGGGGACGCAGCCCAGACGUCAGCAUGGAUCCCUGCGUCCCCACGCCGAGAGGCCACCGCCACAGUGGAGAGGAAGAUCUGGCGUGACUGCCCUUCUGCUUUUA